Molecule: unclassified non-coding RNA, 501 nt
Filed under: Zea mays
Lineage: Eukaryota; Viridiplantae; Streptophyta; Magnoliopsida; Poales; Poaceae
Description: misc RNA Zm00001eb155930
Source: RNAcentral
CUGGAGCUCGCGCAGCCGACGCCUCGCCUGGAGCUCGCGCAGCCGCCUCGCCUCGCCUGGAGCUCGCGCAACCGCCUCGCCUCGCCUGGAGCUCCCGUAGCCGCCGCUGUUGAGGGAAAGACUGUUGAUAAGGGUACCCCUGGUGACUCCAUUGAUACCAAGCCUAUGUCCAACUUAGGGAAGAGGAAGAGGUACAUGACUGAUGAAGAUGUUGCUGUGUUCAAUGGGAUGAAAGAGGCUGUAUCUGAUGUUGCUGCUGCUGUCCGUGAAAGCAUCCAUGCUGAAGCAGCACCUGGGAUCUACAAUGCUGUAAUCAACUGUCCUGGGUUCUCUAGGGAGGCUCUCAUGUAUGCCCUAAACCACAUGAUGGAGCACAAGGCCACCUCCCUGGUGUUCCUGGACAUGACUCCUGAUGAUCGUGACCUAUGGCUCAAGACUUUCCUAGCCAAGCACUACCACAACCGAUCUGAUCUGUCUAUCCUAUUCCUAUAUAAUGCUUAA